This is a long non-coding RNA of Beta vulgaris subsp. vulgaris (sugar beet), 827 nucleotides long. RefSeq lists it as uncharacterized. The transcript has 3 exons. Lineage: Eukaryota; Viridiplantae; Streptophyta; Magnoliopsida; Caryophyllales; Amaranthaceae. The record is from RefSeq and is a predicted model, not a curated record.
AUCUGGAAGAAGCCCCAAAUUUUGAAUUCUCAAUCUUCCAACAUUAAUGUAUCAUGACCCAAGUUCAUAUUUUUUCAAAUGACAAACUGAUUAAUAGUAGGAGCAUGGCUUCCAAAAAAAGAGAUAAAUACCGGUUGACAAUUCCAUCUAGCCACAAGCAAAAAUCAGAAAAAUUUACAAACAAUCUUUUCUCUGCUCCAUUUUUACCUUCUUAUUUUUCUGUUUUGGGCAACUGCCCAGCACCACCACGACGCCACCGCACAAACCUCCAGCAGUCCAGCCAGAUUUCAAACUUGCCAACCUCCACGCAGAAGCCUCACCGCAACAACUCCCCCGCCUUCCACCGCCAGCCUAGCCACCGAACAUUCUGUAUCACCACACCACCACCUACGACCCACCCUCGCUCGCACACCCAUUCGCAGCAUCCUUCUCUCUCCUCGACCCACCUGCACGAACCUCCACCUGAACGAACCACCUUCGACGAACCACCCUGACACCUUCAAUCUCGCCGCUGCAGCCUCCUUAUCCGGUGUCGUGCGUCUCGUCGCACUUCCUUUGUCCUUGCCGCAAGAUUAAGGGAAAAAGGAUAUUACAAGCCUCCUCCGACUAUCAAAGUUACUAAGCAGGAUUUGAGGUAACAACGGGGAUGACGGAAUGGCAUAGCAGUGAGGAAUAAUUACUAUUUAAAUUAUGUAGAACUCUUAUUAUUAUGUAUUCUAACUUAAGAACAUUAGUUUAUGAACGUUAACUAUGUUUCACCUAGUUAUUUAUGCAUUUCUAAGUUAGUUAUGAAGUUUAAUAUUUAUAAUGUUAUGUUCUUUAAUUAA